UACGGAAGGUCCGAGCGUUAUCCGGAUUUAUUGGGUUUAAAGGGAGCGCAGGCGGAGAGCUAAGCCAGCCGUCAAAUCGUGGGGCUCAACCCCAUCAAGCGGUUGGAACUGGCCCCCUUGAGUGCACUAGAGGGUGGCGGAACUCGUGGUGUAGCGGUGAAAUGCAUAGAUAUCACGAAGAACCCCGAUUGCGAAGGCAGCCACCUGGGGUGUCACUGACGCUCAUGCUCGAAGGCGCGGGUAUCAAACAGG
RNAcentral lists this ribosomal RNA (252 nucleotides) under uncultured bacterium. Its description in RNAcentral is "partial 16S ribosomal RNA". It matches the Rfam family "Bacterial small subunit ribosomal RNA", at positions 524 to 776 of the family's 1533-position model. The record is from RNAcentral.